This is a non-coding RNA of Gasterosteus aculeatus aculeatus (three-spined stickleback), 877 nucleotides long. The record is from RefSeq and is a predicted model, not a curated record. NCBI's taxonomy places the organism in Eukaryota, Metazoa, Chordata, Actinopteri, Perciformes, Gasterosteidae.
CAAGCACUUACAGGCGUUCCUGGUGAAUGGACUGGUGAGGUGGAGCGAGGACCGCGCAGCAGCAGCUGCACCACCACCGGCUGCAGAUGAGGGACGGCUGGGACCUCUGCACUCCUACAGUGGCCACCUCAAGCACGUUGUUAACCAGAAGAGCCAAAGAGUGCUUGGUCUUCAGGUGGUUAAGGACUUCACCGAGCUGGCUAAGUACACAGGUAUGCGAUGUGAAAACACCUCAUUUCAUAACAGAGCAAAACGAGCCGUGACUGAUUCCUUCUCUGUGUGAGAGGGGAGCACAUCGGAGUUGAGUACCUGUACCAGCAGAAAGGCAAAGUGCUUGAGGACGUCAGCCUGGACCCUGACACUCCGGACGAGGCUCCUACCAUCGAGGCGCUGGAGGAGGACGAGGGCAUCGAGGAAGACUUAGCGGACCCUACAGUCUUCGGGCCCGAUACUCCAUCCUCCAGCGUGGCAGCAUCUCGGUCAGGAGAACAUCCAGGGUCCUGAUGGCCUGGGUACCAGCACGUCCUGAACCUGGCCUAGGCGCUGGUGGAAGGGAGGAACCUUCUGGGGCUGCCUGAGAGUAGAACGACUCAUCCUGCUUUGGACUCGCUUGGCGGAGCAGGACAAGCGGCGAGUCAACUACCCUCCCAGAUACCGGGAGAGGCAACCAAAGAGCCGGUUCAAGGCAGCGAAGGGGAAGAACACCUCCUGUGCUGGAAAGGAGAGUCUCCAACGCUGCCUCCUCGGGGUCAACUCAGGGCCUUCCACCUGGCCAGUGCCAGCCGCCUGGUGGAGGCCACCAGAACUAAUAACUACCCCACCAUACACAAGCACUCACAUACACACAACCAGAGUGACACCCCCCCCCCCCCCGGGG